AUUGAACGCUGGCGGCAGGCCUAACACAUGCAAGUCGAACGGUAACAGGAAGCGGCUUGCUGCUUUGCUGACGAGUGGCGGACGGGUGAGUCAUGUCUGUGAAACUGCCCGAUGGAGGGGGAUAACUCCUGGAAACGGUAGCUAAUACCGCAUAACUUCGCAAGCCCAAAGAGGGGGACCUUAGGGCCUCUUGCCAUCGGAUUUGCCCAGAUGGGAUUAGCUAGUAGGUGGGGUAACGGCUCACCUAGGCGACGAUCCCUAGCUGGUCUGAGAGGAUGACCAGCCACACUGGAACUGAGACACGGUCCAGACUCCUACGGGAGGCAGCAGUGGGGAAUAUUGCACAAUGGGCGCAAGCCUGAUGCAGCCAUGCCGCGUGUAUGAAGAAGGCCUUCGGGUUGUAAAGUACUUUCAGCGGGGAGGAAGGGAGUAAAGUUAAUACCUUUGCUCAUUGACGUUACCCGCAGAAGAAGCACCGGCUAACUCCGUG
RNAcentral lists this ribosomal RNA (490 nucleotides) under uncultured bacterium. RNAcentral describes it as "partial 16S ribosomal RNA". It matches the Rfam family "Bacterial small subunit ribosomal RNA", at positions 30 to 507 of the family's 1533-position model. The record is from RNAcentral.